AUCUAAAUAGCUUAUAGAUAGAGCAUAGCAUUGAAGAUGCUAAGGAAAUAGCCUUAUUUUUAGAUA
This 66-nucleotide transfer RNA is filed under the name Eucryptorrhynchus scrobiculatus. RNAcentral describes it as "tRNA-Phe". It matches the Rfam family "tRNA". Rfam says of the family: Transfer RNA (tRNA) molecules are approximately 80 nucleotides in length. The record is from RNAcentral. Lineage: Eukaryota; Metazoa; Arthropoda; Insecta; Coleoptera; Curculionidae.